This is a long non-coding RNA of Pezoporus flaviventris, 8757 nucleotides long. RefSeq lists it as uncharacterized. Lineage: Eukaryota; Metazoa; Chordata; Aves; Psittaciformes; Psittacidae. The record is from RefSeq and is a predicted model, not a curated record. The transcript has 4 exons.
UGUAAUUUAAAAACCCUACAUUCUUUCACUUAAACAGCUCAAAAUUUGGACAAAACGUACCCUGUUGGUAUUGCCCAAUCCACAAAGACUUUUCCUGGAUAAUAGGUGGCAGUUGUCUCAGGGUUUGCCCAAUACAGGCUCUAGAUUGUUAAAUUCUUUGUGUACUGUUAAAACAAAUCACCAAUUAUACAGUGAGCAAGAAGAAAAGAAUGUUUGCUUUCCUAGGUCAGUCUCGGUUUCUUGGUGUCAUACUCUCCCAGUCGACACCAGUUUGUUCAAAUGACUUAAUUCACGUGGUUUGGUUUUCUUCCAGGAUGCUUUUGCUCUUUCUACAUAAGUUUCCCUCUUCAGAUGCGCUUAGUUUUGUACUUAAAGUAGUAGAAGGUGAAGUUGUUACACACUGAAAAAUGGCAGGCUUCAAGCAUUGCACACCUAAAGUAAUCUUGAACAGAUAAAUGCAAAGAAUAUGAAGCAAUAACAUACUCUCUUGUGUAACUUGCCAAGCUAAAGUUUAUUAUCUUCAAUAGCUGUUGACCUCCUGGCAUAGUCAGAUGUUUUCAGACCACAUUUAGCUCUGUAUUUCCCACACAGAUAGUAAAAUUCUUGAUGAAACUUGUGUAGGUUACACCUUUGAAGUCCUCGUGGUGUUGGUAUUACAGUUAAUUAUGCUUCUCUCUAUGAAAAAAUCCUCAUUACUCUUAGUUUUUACUUAUUUACCACAACUUUCAGAAAAAUCUGGACCUACAACUUCACUACUCUUUGCUACUCUAUUGCCUGCACCCAUCUGUGUUUCUGGAAUAGGAAAUAUGGAAUAAGAGAGGAAAAAUAAAACCUCCUCAGCAUCAGGGAACUAUUCAUGUGGUUUAUUCACUUGUGAAACUACAGCCAGAGUCCUGUGAUAUCUGCUAGGUGUGGGGAGAGCACAGCUACAGUGGGUUAGACAGGGCUCCUUGUAGAUGGCAGUAGUAAUGACUGCUGUCUUCAGAGCACUUGUGAUGGUUCCCAAACUCACAAAUGGCUCACAGGAGCAAUGAGAAAAGCUCCUAAGAAAGGAGCCUUUUUUGCUUGAAAAGACUCAGUUAUAGCUCUUCACUGGCAGGACAAACAGCGCUUUGGAAGGGGUAGGUGAUUCAGUGCUUGCUGCUUGCAGCUGAAGCCAUGCCAUUGACUAGGGGAGAAUUCAGGAUUCAGUUAUUUGGAUGCUCACAGAGAAGGGGGAAGCUUUGGCUUCCAUCUCCAUGGCAAGCAUUAGCUCUGUAUUUUAUCAGGUUGUUUUGAAUAGUCUUUAUGUGGAUCAGAAAUUAGGUCUCAUUCCUCCCUCCUACUUGAGAGCCAUAAUCAAUAGCUUAGAGAACCAUGGCUGCUUUUCUCUUCUUUCUCAGAUAGUUAUCUGGGCCUUCAAAGGAGAACAAAAUAAUGACAGAAUACCCAUCGUGUUGCAUAAGCUGGGGGAUUGUCAGUGUCUCAGAUACACAGUAAGAUUGCACGGUGAGUUGUGAGAUGGCAGUGAUACCCCUUCACAUUUAGUAUGUGAAAUACCCCAGGUUUUUGUGUGUGGCUUGUAACUAAGGAGAUGGGCUGGGUGCGGUGAUGAGUCAAGGGCAGCCCAUGCUGCUCCACGCAGUCCCAGCACUUGAGUCAGUGAUAAGUGUGUGCAUGGCAUUCCUUAAAAAGGUGAACAAUUCCAGCUCACCGCCCUGAAGUGCUGGAACACAGAGUUGGAAGGUUGUUCAGCUUCUUUGCAAAGCCACCUGUAGUGCCAACUAAUUGUGUAACGGGCUGAAAUGAGUCUGGAGCUCAUUGAUGAGUGUGUCAGCAAUUGCAAUAAUCUUAUCAGUUACUGUAGUAACAGCACUGUAGUAACAGCAACGUUUCCAUUGCAGUGUAAGAGACAGCAGUCAGUGUUUAAACUCCAGAUUCAUAUUGCUACGUGAAUGUAGUGUUGAUUACACGUUGGAGAGUGAGGAACACAUAAACUAGUUUUCUCAAACUUAUCUAUCUCCUUGAAUGUUUUACGGGUUCUCAGUUACCUGUCAAUGCAUGUUUGCAAUGUCUAUUGCUGUGGUGGUUUAAGGGUAAAGGCAGAUUUAAAAGUCUAUAUGAUAUUGUAAUAAUGAGUUGCCACCUUUUGAUGCAGGGCUGGCUUCUUUGAUGAGUAGAUUUUUUUGGUGAGCAAAGAGUAUAGGCACUGAUAUUUCAGGGGAAAAGGGACUCUUCCUGAUCAGACGUGGUCAGAAGCGUACAACAUGUACCCUCUCCCAUAUUCAGAUACUGAGACAAAAUAUUAUACAUUUUGUGUCUUAAUAGUCCCAUUAAGUCCGAUAAAUCCUGUGAUCUGUAGCAGAACAACUGCAAAAGAUGGGAGCUAGAAGCUAUUUACGUCAGAUAUUAGUGUUGUAUCAGCAUGAGCAAGUAUUUCUGUAUCUUUGACUCAUACCAGAGUCCAGAUAGCGUGUGACAAAGCCACUGACAUCAGUAACACCACUAUCAGGGGAAGCCUCCUCACUUCAACAGUUCAAUUAACUGGCUUCUGCAAUGGGUGGAAUCUCAUUAUUAAUCAUCUUCUAUACCACAAAACAUGGUACUUGAAAUUUGCUAGUUCAUAGUUUGCUCUGGUGCUGUAGAGAAAGCAGAAGUGUGCAGUCUUGCUGAAAGAAAUGGUUACAGACUGAAAAUCACAUUUUCAAGUCGCUAUGGAUACAGAUAUUUCCUAGUCAAGACCCUUUAAAAAGCUAAGGAAAGGGGGCUCAUUCACAAACAGUAGGAUUUUAAGAUUUUGCAGCUAUUUGUGUUCUACUUUCUCCCCACGAGUACUAAACACUGCUUUCAGCUUGUGCAUUGCCACUGGCUCCGGUCACUGAAGUGGGUGCAUCGCUGAGCACCUGAGCUGUGUUCCUCCUCAGUCUGAAAGUGCUAUGUUAUCACCUCACAGUUUUAAUCUUUAGAGCACUUGACAGGUCCUCCCACUGCCAGGACAAAUGCUAUCACUGUCAUGGCCAAAUAACCUAAAUGUGAGGAAACAGAUACUGAAGUUAAUCAACUUUACAAACAUGACAGGAGCAUUUAGAGACCCCAGUUCAACAGAUACUUAAAUAGAUGUUUAAAUUCCUUUCUUUUAAACAAAUAAUGUAAAUACCUGUGAAAUACCCCUGCUAAGCUUGCUCUUGGAGGCUUUAGGCUUUCUGAUUGCUGGGGUGGUGCUUUGAUCACCUCCUGUUACAAGUACUUUCUAUAGAAAAGCUCUCCUGUUGUUCAGUCCUUUCCAUAAGCUACAUUUAAACACCCAAAUUAUUAAUACAUACAAGCAGUUGUCAUGGAGACAGUAUUAUCCAAAGUGGGGUUUUCUUAAUAAGCGGCACAAAGUUGGCACAUCCCACAUGCCUUGUACAGACAAUUCCUGCGGAAUGUUUCCUGCGUUACACAUGGGAUAGAUCCGUUUCUUUGCUUUUCAUGCCAGCAUGCUCUGGAGAAACCACUCUUUCUGGCUUUCAGAUGGCUGGCUUUAGGAAUGUGAAAAAUGUAGGAGCUGUAAGAGGUGUUGGGUUUAGUUCAGGUCAUAAGAUCUUAGCAAGGGGCCAUACAGCUCAUUUCUGUGAGCCCUCAAACACAACGUGACAGCUGAAUUAGGGCUGAAACCACUGUGGGAUAUAUUUUCUCUCCUCAUCUUGGUGCGUACACUUACAGCAAAAUGCAGUAACUAAUCCAAAAGCAGGCAGUUGGCUGAUGUAGCUGGGGAGGCUGCAGGGCUGUGAUGAUGGUUGUUUUCGCUGGAACAAAACUGCAAUCGUAUUAAAUGCCUAUAAAUCCAAGAGGACCUGGUGCUGUACCUGCAGACUUAAGGGUAUUAAACCUGAACUCUCUGAGAUGUUUUGCCCAUACUUGUCAUAAUACUUCUGCUUUUUAACUGUGCCCUUGCAAAGUAGCACACAGCACAGUUCAUCUGAUAAGUAGGACUCUUUCUACCUUUAUUCUGUGCUUCCUUCUUUUGUCUUGUCCUGGAGAUCCUGUUACACUUAUGCCAGGCAGCACCUAACUGAUGAUGCGGACAUUCUGUAGCCUAUUUAUUUGAGUGAAUGGAUGAGAUUCUCUUUAUGUUAUAGUUACUGCUUUCUCUUUUUUUUUUCCCCCAGAUACUCUUCAGUUAAUGCUACAUCACAGUUACUGUCAUAAUGACCUUCAUCUGGGCCAGGCAACCAGAGAAUAAAGUUACAGAAAGACUGCAAAAAGGAUUGCAGCAAGAAAACAUGAGGUAGUCCUUCCUCCCUUUGCUGCCAGGUAAAUGUCUGUUUCCUUCAUAGCACCGCCAGUAUCUUGUAGAGAAGGAAGCAUGAACCCACUGGGGCUGUACCCAUGACUUUUAGAAGCAUGUUAAUACCGUACCCGUGUUGGUUUGGAGAUGUCAGUUGUCUUGUGUGACAAACAGGUCCACAAAGCCUGCUAAAGAUGGCUUGGCCAAACCACCACCAGCUCUUGAGCUGGAUUCCAAGCAGUGCUGUGUCCUGGCUGCUCCUUAAAUGCUUCCUCCAAAUAGAGAGACCAGGGAGGGAAGUUUCCUUUUGAAAUCUAUUUGUGUAUGUGCUAAAGGACAAAGGAGAUCCAUGAUCUAGUCACUGCACAGGCACACUUAUUCUUAGAUCAUGAUUUUGUUUCACUGUGGUUAACAAGUGUAUUAUUAGUAAUAGCUGGUUACAAAUAAUAACCUGGCCUUAUUUUUAACCUAAUACUGCAUUGGAUUUCAUUGCAAUAGGUGGGUUCACUGCUGUGCUUUGCUCUUUGAGUAUUAUCUUUCAGAAUUUCAGUGCCUUCCAUCUUCAGCAUUAAAAAUAGGUGUCAAGUUGAGUAAUUAUUAUCGCUCCAAAUCUCAUGUGCAGCCUUACAUAACAGUGUUCUCACCAAAAGCCUGAUUUUAAGGGUGGAGUGGAAGAACAUGCUGCGGCAACCUGAAAUUAUUUGCUCUACUGUAGCAGGGUUAUACAGAGCCCAGAUAGAACUGUUUCUUCUGAGGAAGCACUGAGAGCCAGUCUAAUAUUAAUGAAAAUAAUAAUGUGUGGAAUGCCUCAACUUUGGCAUUAUGUUGUCAGCACUCCUCAGUCCUGAGUAGAGGCCUUCUUGACAAUCCUCUGUUGCCCAAGCAGAAACUACCAUUCAUGCCAACUCAGUGACAGUCCAAAUACUUGUGAGUUUAGUAACAGCAAAUAUAUAAACAUGCAAAGUGAAAUAACAGUGGCAAAUUACUUGGAAAGAGACUAUCCCCAGCUGGACGGAGCUACCCUUGAUAAACCUGAACUUCCUCAUUAGUAACACUGUGUUCAUAGGCAAAGUGCUGUCUGUUUUUACUAGCUAAGACUGUUUACCCUUCCAACGGUGAGCUGGGUUCCUUAUGUCCAUCAUACUCAUGUCACUUUGGAAGGACAAAAAACAGUUGGGAAGAGGCAGUGGUCAAUCCUGAGAACAUCAGGUACCUUCUUUUAACUCUAACAAACUCUCAGCUCUCGUGGUGAUCACAGUAACAACAAACCCUGAUCUCUUCUAUUUGCAUAAUAUAUUUUAUUGUUUCAUCCCCUGUUUCAUUGCAUGCUGUGACCUUCUUCCUUCAUCGAUGCAUCAAAGCUGCAUCAUUCUUCCUGAUUGCCAUUCUUCUCUUCCAUCCCUUUUCCUGUGCAUAACUUCCUUUCCUCCCCCCUUUCAGCCUCAUUGAAUCAGAUUUAGCCAAAUGAUCCACAACUGCUGAUAAGCUCUGGCAAUUGCAUAUAGAGGCUUUUCUUCCUGAGGUUGUGCAUAGCAUGAAAAUAAAAACCACACUGUUAUAAAUUUGACUAAUAAAAAUCUUACAUUUGGCAAAAGUGUGAGAAAUGGCCAUGAAUGGACCUGUUAAUUUCGCUGCUAGAUGGUGAUGCCAGAACUCUUGGCAUUCUACCUGGAGCUGGGAUCUUACUGUCAGGGUCUAACUUCCUUUUUGAUGUCUACAACAUUAGUGAUGGCUGCUGAGUGUGUUCCCUGGCACAGUAAUGUUCUCCUCAUGUUAGACCUAGAAUGUGCACAGCCACUGAAUCCUACAGAUGCUGACCCUCAGCUGUUGGAGACUCAAGCCAACAGAUUCUCCAAGUUUGUAGGCUUAAAGCUGGGCUCAUGUUGUGAAUGCUGAGUUCCAGCUGUGUUAGCUGAAUCACUAACUGAAUUUCACUCACAGGCAGUAACUGCAUCUAAAAGUGUCAGUCUCUGUGUAUUCCAAGGCAUGAGCUAGUUCUAACCUUGCUGCCAUGGUACAGAGAUUUACUCUAGGUGUACGUAUCUAGCACAAACAUGACGUUAAUUUGUACACUUCACCAGUACUGGUUUUCCUCCUCAGAUUACAAACUGAAAAGAUCAAUGAAAUGAUGACUUGUUUUUGUGAGAUGAAUGGGAACUCCAUAAUUAAUGAUACCAGGUAUAUUAGCAGAGGGAAGAACUAGUUUCAGAAGACUGUCAUUAACUUGAGCAAUUGGAAUUGUUCAGUUCCAUAAUGGAUGUGUAUUUAUUACAGCACUGCAUGAGUGGAGAGGCGAUGGAGGGUCUAUUACAACAGUGGUGCACCUUAUCUGCACAGAAUGAGAGGCAGAAGUUUGCUGGCUUCACAAGGGAGCCUCUCCAGCAUGGAACGCUCUGGGACACUGCACAGCAAGUUUAAUUCUGAUUCAUGUUUUACUAUCAAAAAUCACAUGUAAAACCCUGGCUCACCUCCCUCAAAGAGUGUUUAUUUGGGAAGUGGCACCUUCCAGGCACUGAAGCUCUGAUACAAAUUGGCCUCAACAGAGUAAGUGUUAAACAUCCCAUUCUUGUGUUGUAGCUGUUCCCUGGUGAAGUCCCUCAAUGUACGUUUUCAUAAAUUGCCCUCUCUGUCCUGACUGUAGUUAUACUUCCCUUAAAAGGUAUCUAUUACAGCAGAAAAUCAAUGCUAUUCAUUCUUGUAGUAGUCCAAAAAGCUUUACUGGUAUAGCUACUGCUGCUCUAUUUUUUUGACAGUGUCCAAUUGGAGGCAAAUGUACCAAAAUAUGUCAAGACUUACUCAUGUAGAGAUAAUAUAGCAAGUGAAAGAAUUUCCACCAUAAAGUUCCAGGAGUUAAGGUGCUACUCGUUGGAUGACAAUUCCAUAAGUGGAGAGAACAAACUUUCUUAUUUUUCAUGAGACAAGAGUUUUAGUGACACAGGUUAAAACAGAAGAAGAAAACCCAACAGCAGUGACAUGACUUUUAUCAGCAGCAGUGGACACUGCUGCUGAGACUUUUUCUCCAUUGAGCCUAAAGAGCAGAGGUUUUAGAGGUCCAGCUUUCACUGUCAGUAACACCCUACAGCCACCAAGAAAGGAAAUCCAUCUGAAGCACUUCAGAGUAAUGCUUGAUGUGAUUUAUCCUCAGUUCACCCCUGUGAACACCAGCAGUCAAGGUACUGCCUGAUCUCUUCAAUCACCCUGUAGUAACUCACUACUAAUGAGUGACUGGUCAUCGUGCUGCAGAGCAUCCUCAGUCGGGCUGGUAACAGAAAACAGCAAAGGUAAUCAUCAAAUACCUGUUAAUUUCCUGUUAGGUUUUUAAUUGGAAUUUCUCUUCUCUAACAGAUCUUCUUCCAGAAAGGCAUGUUUGCAUCUUUUCCCUAAUCAUACAUGAUUGUGCAGAUUCUUUGUACGUUACCUAUGUAUACUAAUCCCAGUAGCAUGGUAUUAAUUCACAACAGUCAGUGAAUUUAGACAGGGAUAUUGCAGAAAUGUAACUAAAACAUGACUACAAUAUGACAGCUAUGCAAUUACUACCCUUUUUUUCCCUUCAGAUACUGACCAGGCCAAAAUCACUAUACGGGGUUCAGUUUGUAAGGCCAAGCUUGUGGUUUCACAUCCUGGAUGAAGCAGCCACCCUUUUCCUUGUGCCCUCCUCACUCUUCCCUUCCCAGGCUACUGUCUCAGUGAUGCCACUGCAUCUUAGUGAGGCUGUUGCGCAGGAAAAUGAUCCAAGUUCAAAAUAACCAUCUUGUGGGUUAUUUUAGUCUGAAUCAAAUCCUUGCCUGGGUUCACUGCACAACCCUGCAUGCAAUUACGCCAGCACAGCUCAGGGAAAGAUGUGGGACUAGAAACAAACAACAUGACUUUGGGCUGCACAGGGCAGAGCUGCUGCCAAAGGAAACAUUAGUGGAGCUGUACAGAAUAUUUGUUUGGAAACAGUUUUAAAGUGAAGUUUCAGAACACUUGCAGAUGAAACGUGUUUAAUUGGUGGGAUAAAAGGCUGCAGCCAAAGUUAAGUCUGGCUUCUAAUUAUACAGAGUAAACAGAUACAAAAUUAGGCUCUGUGAAGUCUAAAUAGGUAAUUUCACAGUUAAUAUUUAACUACUGGAUAUUUAACAAUAAAAAGCAUUAAAUGGUUUUAAAUCCUCAUGCCUGGCAUGCUGCUCACCAAGCUACAGCCUACAAUCGCUGUUCAGGAGUAAAGGGGUUUCCUGGGCGAUGGUGACCAUGAACUCCAGCAUCUCCUCACCCAGUGUGAACACACACCAAAAAUGGCUUUUGCCUAAAAUGUCCCUUCUCACUUUUUCACAUUAUUUCCAUUGAUGAUGCUGGGGAUGGGAACCUUGGGAAGCAGAGGUUGUUGAGAACCAUACCCUGUAGAAAUCUGUUGUUUAAUGUUCAGCACACAGGAAUAAUGCCUUUUGUUCAAACCAUACGUAAUGUUUUUCAUCUGGCAGCUGUUUUCCCUGUAAAUGAUAAAACAUUAAAACCUGAACUAAAAAUAA